GAUGAACGCUGGCGGCGUGCCUAAUACAUGCAAGUCGAGCGAACGGACGAGAAGCUUGCUUCUCUGAUGUUAGCGGCGGACGGGUGAGUAACGCGUGGAUAACCUACCUAUAAGACUGGGAUAACUUCGGGAAACCGGAGCUAAUACCGGAUGAUAUUUUGAACCGCAUGGUUCAAAAGUGAAAGACGGUCUUGCUGUCACUUAUAGAUGGAUCCGCGCUGCAUUAGCUAGUUGGUAAGGUAACGGCUUACCAAGGCAACGAUGCAUAGCCGACCUGAGAGGGUGAUCGGCCACACUGGAACUGAGACACGGUCCAGACUCCUACGGGAGGCAGCAGUAGGGAAUCUUCCGCAAUGGGCGAAAGCCUGACGGAGCAACGCCGCGUGAGUGAUGAAGGUCUUCGGAUCGUAAAACUCUGUUAUUAGGGAAGAACAUAUGUGUAAGUAACUGUGCACAUCUUGACGGUACCUAAUCAGAAAGCCACGGCUAACUACGU
Molecule: ribosomal RNA, 496 nt
Filed under: uncultured bacterium
Lineage: Bacteria
Description: partial 16S ribosomal RNA
Rfam family: Bacterial small subunit ribosomal RNA
Source: RNAcentral